ACAAUGAGCGUUAAUACUAGUCCAAUGGAGUUCCCCAUCUCCUUAAAAGUGGGACAGAAACAUACUCUGCUCUAACUCUGGGCAGAGAUGAGCAGCAAGUUGAAUUCAGUGAGAUGGAGUUCUAAAUUGAUAGUGCAGUUUGUUUAGCCGAUUUUACUGCGACAGUAGCUAGCUACUUCACAUGCUGACAUAGAGUAAGAUGGUGCGGACAGACAUGGCAGCUCUGCUUCUAGCUCCUAAGCAACUUUUCAGUGUGUUAUUUCUUUCAUUAUUAGCCCAGAACAUUUUUUGUGUUAUUACGUACAGCCGGAAAUAACUUUUGGAUAUGAGAGCGGCGGUAACUCAGCAGCGUUACGACCAGGAAUACGACUUGUUUGUUCCCCCCAGGGCAAUUGAACUUAUCCCAGAGGCUGGUCCAAGAUGCCGCCGGCGGAGAAGAGGACCAGGUCUACCCAUUGCGCUCAUCUUGGGGUCAGGUUCAGCUGUUGGUCUCCUCCUAGCAGUGAUGCUGGUAGCCUGCUGUAUUCAGAGGAGAAGGAGAAGUCCAGCACCACAGAUGCAGAACUCAAAGGAUCUCAGUCUUCAGAAUGAGGAAAGAGGCGACAAAACCUGUGAUACUUGCUAACAGAGGGGAGACAGAGGUUUAGGACUCAUUAGUAGGCUUCCAGAGAGUAGUCAUUGAUAAGUAACUAAAAUGGAGACAAACAACUCAUUCCUUUUUCAAAACAGCCCAAACAAUUUCCUUAGUUUUUUCUGUGUGCAUUAGUUAACUUCUAAUAAAUAUUUUUAUGGUAGUAGCUUAUUUUUUAUUCAGCGUUUUUCUGUUCUUUUGGCAGCUGUGAAUCAGCACUGGUAUUAAAUUACAUUAAUACUUUUUUUGAGGAUAAUGAAACAAAUUGCAUUUGAAGACUUUUUCUCAUGACAGUUAUUAUAGCCUAAAAAUCACUCUUGUUUUGCAGCUUUCUCUUUUCAGAGAAGCUAAAUAAUGUUAAAUGUUAAUUUUACUCAAAUAGAACAACCUGUACUGGCACAUGUGGGCAGUCCUGAUACAACAUUUUUAACAGAAAUUAAAUGGUUCGUUGGAUCAGUCUAACAUCUGCACAUACACUGCUGCCAUCUAGUGGCCAAAACCCAAUUUGCGCCUGGGCUGGAAUAAUACAUGAUGGCCUUUCUCUUGAUGGUACAAAAAAUUUAUAUUUUAUGAGAUCUUUCACCAGAUCUAAUGUGUUAUAUUCUCCUACAUUAAUUUAACAUUUCCAAAAACUUAAAAUGUUUCCUUUCAAAUGGUAUCAAUAAUAUGCAUGUCCUUGCUCCAGGUCCUGAGCCACAGGCAGUUAGAUUGGGUAUUACAUUUUAGGUGAAAAUUGAAAAAAAGGGGCGGAUCCUUAAGAAUUCAAUGUCCAUUUCUCGUUUUUGCUUUAUUUCUCUCUUCAUACAUUUAUAGGAUUGUAAUAGUUAUAAAUGUAUGUUAUUGUCAUGUUCAAGCCUCAAAAUUAGAUAAUUAGAUUAUAAACAAUUGUACCAUUGCAUUGUUUAAUACUCAUUUUUGAUUUGCUUGAAUUGCAUUCUAGAGCCUGCAUUCUAGAGCCUGCAUUAUUUCCCUAUAACACACGUUAAUAUUGCUUGGUCUAAUUCAAUGUCUAUGUAGAUAUGUCUAUGAAGCUCAUUCUUACAUGUUUUAUUUUUUAGCUGCUUUUGAAAGCAAACGUCAAAUUGAAAACAUUAAUGCCAUUGUUGAAUUCGAUUUUCAUAAUAGUAAGCAAGAAUGAUGGUUUGGUUAGCUGAGCUAGGGAUUAUUUUACAUUUUUUAUUACCAAGACAACUACUGUACUGUAGCUAUUUAGCUAGCUAGACUUGCUAGCUACUUCAGUGGAUGUUGGCACAUUUCUAUUGGCAAAGGAAUACAUUUUAGAGGCAAAUAUGUUAAUUUAUAGCCAUGGUAUGAUAGGAAUAAUCAAUUUAGGGCUCUGUGCGUUCUCUGGAAAAUAAUGCAACUCCACGAUGUGUUAGCACACCUUCCACAUCGUGCACUAUAUUCCAAAGAACGCAAUUCAGGCAUUCAUCUCCUCCGGUGAUGCUAGAGAGAAUGGAUGUCAGUGUUAUGGAGCUCUGGGAGGGUCUGUCUUUCUCCAGCUGACUGAUACCAGAGGAUAUACAUUCUUAUUAUAAAAAGACCCCAAUGAUAAAGCUACAGACAUAGUCAACAUUUUAAAUGAUUUAGUGAGAAUGCAUGACUCCAUUAAAGCUAUAUCAGAGUUCUUCAUGAACAACAGGACAUUUAGGAUGGAUAACACAGAAAGGACGGAGUCUGAUGAAUACCUCUUAGAACAUUUCAUUCUAAUGGAAGUUCAUUAGCCAACAGAAGACUAGACCUGUUCAUUGAAGGUAAAGGGCUAUCUCAACAACAAAAAGACAUAUGACUAUUAGCUUCCAAAGAAAUAUACAAUAAUUUGACACAAUGUAGAUAUGUUUUUGUCUGUUUGCUGAAGUUGACUUAAUCCCCACAGCUCCAGUGUCCGUCUCAUGGAUAGAUGAGGGUGUCCUGCUCCUCUGAGGGGGACGGUAGUACAGCUGAACUCUGGAUGGACAGACACUGAGAGACACUGAGACCUCUCCUGGUGAUGAGACAAACACCAUCACUCUGAAGAAAGGCCUGUCAGGAGAUCUCACCUGUACCGUCCAGAAACCACAUCAGCAGGUGUCCAGGAACAGGGUUCAAUGUGUUUGUUUAUUUCCAACCUGCUGAAGUCUUCAUUCUGCUGACAGUCUGUCUGGGAUCAUACUGUUUCUACAGAAGAAAACCUGUCCUCAAGAACAUUGUCAGUAACCAUGCAAUGGAUAUUUAACUAAGAGAAAGAGUCCUCUGGAACAGGAUAAUAGUCAGUAAGCAGAGUGUAUGGAUUCUUUCAGGUGGAUCAGGGUAGAUCUCAGAAGAGCGUGUUGAUGCCCUGAGAGUUGCUAUGGGGACAAACCAGGCUGUGAGAUUACCUUAUGAAAUAACUGCUAAUGAUUAUAUAAUAUUGCUUACAGUUGAAAAUGUUUGUAGCUCUUUUAACCUUUAUUAAUUAAGCUGUAAUUAUCAUUUUGUGUAAGUACUUAUGUCACGUUCGUUCUCCUCCUCGUCUGAGGAGGUGCAUGGAUUGGACCAAUACGCAGAGUGAUAUGAGUACAUCUUCUUUUAUUAGAGAUGAAGACGAAACGAACCAUAUACAAACUAAUACACAAAACAAUAAACCACGAACGUGAAGCUACAAACGAAAGUGCACACACAGCUACUAACGUUAGACAUAGACAAUUACCCACAAACACCUAAAGCCUAUGGCUGCCUUAAAUAUGGCUCCCAAUCAGAGACAACAAUAAACAGCUGUCUCUGAUUGAGAACCAAACCAGGCAACCAUAGACUUUCCUAAACACCUACACUGAACACAACCCCAUACAUACUACAAAACCCCCUAAACAAUACACACACCCUAAACUAGACAAAACACACAAACAUCCCCCAUGUCACACCCUGACCUAACUAAACUAAUAAAGAAAAUCAAUAUAACAAAGGCCAGGGUGUGAUAACUUAUUAUUAAAUGUAUAGCACAAUGUAUUGCAUUGCAAUGUUUUGUUUUAUAUUGCUUGUGAUAUACAUUCUUACUGUGUUCAUAAUGUUAUGAUUUGAUGUAUUUGUGCGAUUUUGAAUGGAUAGAAGUAAAAGCAAGCUACCUAAUUUGUCAUUAACUACUACUUUUGAAACAUUUUGAAUCUCAUUUCUCAUGAUCUGCUACUGUUUAAACAUUUUAAACCUAAUUUCUCAUUAUCUACUACUUUUUAAACAUUUUAAACCUAAAUUCUCAUGAUCUACUACUGUUUGAAACAUUCUGGACCUAAUUUCUCUUUAUCUACUACUGCUUGUUUAAAGCACAACAAACUAAGUGACAAUGUGCAGGGUUUUCUGACUUUUCUAUCGGCCCACUGAAAUACAUUUUAUCACACAUACUGGCGCACUUCCCUUCAUGAAGAGCCAAUGCUGAUGUGUAGUCAGUCAAUAGUCACAACAUCACAGACCACAUCUCAACAUCCCAGACCACAUCUCAAGUCACCAGUUCUGACGUCUCCUACUUCCUAGAAUGAUGGGCUAAAGUGAUCUUGAGACGAGUAGACAAUCCAAGUUAAUAACCGGCCGCUUAUACCUUGUCACUGUUGUAUCUUUAGAAAUGUUCUAAAAUAAAACAUUACUGACACUAUGAAAUUACAGUAGUCUGUUUAAACACCUCCUUUCCUGUAGAAGAUACAGUGUAGCUAUCUACCAACAUAAUACAUAGCUAGUGUUCAAGCAGCGUUAGUGACCGUUAGUGACAGCAUUAGUGAGGUUGACUGUUCAAUUAUUUUUGAAAUACGAAGCGGGGACUCCCAUUGUGAGUCAAUGGUUGCAGGACAUACUAUGACAUAUCUAUAAACAUUUGUUGUAACAGACUAUCAACAUGCAUGCUGUGUAUGGACUAAUGAUGAUGUUAGUCGGACUGUCUUAUGGUAGGCAAAAUCACUUAUGCAGUAUCAUACAGAUAUAUUUGAAUUGUAUCUCCAUCUUAUGACUAAAAUCAAUGAUAAACAUUCAGUCUUGUCACAAAGUUCAUAAGUGAAAUGAUGAAAGAGAUUCCGUUAAAAAAGUUGUAAUUUUCUGCACAAUGCAGAAAAUUACAACUUUUCACUCCAUCCUCAGGCAUGGAUAAGUCCUGUGAUGCUAGAGAGGAUGAAUCUCAGUGUUAUGAAGUUCUGGGAGGGACUGGGCCAUCUCUGGCAGAUCACCAACACCAGGGGUCAUGACCUUGAAUUCAAGAAACUUGUAGGGACCAAAGUUUUCAAAAUUAGAAAACAACAAAGUCACAACCAACCCGCCUUUAAAACACAGAGCAGUGUUCUAUGUGGAGGAUGGGAUGUUGAUGCUCAGUAACACAGAGCAGUGUUCUAUGUGGAGGAUGGGAUGUUGAUGCUCAGUAACACAGAGCAGUGUUCUAUGUGGAGGAUGGGAUGUUGAUGCUCAGUAACACAGAGCAGUGUUCUAUGUGGAGGAUGGGAUGUUGAUGCUCAGUAACACAGAGCAGUGUUCUAUGUGGAGGAUGGGAUGUUGAUGCUCAGUAACACAGAGCAGUGUUCUAUGUGGAGGAUGGGAUGUUGAUGCUCAGUAACACAGAGCAGUGUUCUAUGUGGAGGAUGGGAUGUUGAUGCUCAGUAACACAGAGCAGUGUUCUAUGUGGAGGAUGGGAUGUUGAUGCUCAGUAACACAGAGCAGUGUUCUAUGUGGAGGAUGGGAUGUUGAUGCUCAGUAACACAGAGCAGUGUUCUAUGUGGAGGAUGGGAUGUUGAUGCUCAGUAACACAGAGCAGUGUUCUAUGUGGAGGAUGGGAUGUUGAUGCUCAGUAACACAGAGCAGUGUUCUAUGUGGAGGAUGGGAUGUUGAUGCUCAGUAACACAGAGCAGUGUUCUAUGUGGAGGAUGGGAUGUUGAUGCUCAGUAACACAGAGCAGUGUUCUAUGUGGAGGAUGGGAUGUUGAUGCUCAGUAACACAGAGAAAGCUGAUUAUGGAAACUAUCACUUGAACAUUUACAACUCAGAGGGGAUUCUUCUGAAGACAAGACAAUUAGACCUACUCCUGGUUACUAAAGGUAUAAACUUUGUAACACUUUAUUUUAAUUUUCGCCAAUUGAUCGUUUAUAGAUGAUCAACUAACUGUCAACAAACUGUUUAAUUAACUUUCCAUUAACUCUAACCCCAGGCCUAACUUUAACCGCGACCUAACCUUCAUGUCUGUUUUAGAGAGUUAAAUAACAGUUGUCUGUUCUCAUUCCUCCACGGUGCCAGUGUCCUGUCCUCUGAGUGUCUGUCCCAUGGAGAGAUGAGGGUCUCCUGCUCCUCUGUGGGGGACAUUCACCAGUACAUUUGGACUCUGGACAGACAGACACUGAAUGGAACUGUGGCUUUUCUCAUUGACUUAACAGACACCGUCAUACUGAAGAAGUGUGAGGACAGACGCUGGGAGACGAGAAGCAAGUACAGGUAGUGAAUAUUUAAAAACAAACAGACAUGAAGGAAAACACGGACAGCGCCUGGACAAGAGAAACGUCAUGAUGUCACGUUCUGACCACAGUUCUUUUGUAUUUUCUUUGUUUUAGUGUGGUCAGGGCGUGAGUUGGGUGGGUAAUCUAUGUUUUCUAUUUCUGUGUUGGUUUUCUGUGUUUGGCCUGAUAUGGUUCUCAAUCAGAGGCAGCUGUCAAUCGUUGUCCCUGAUUGGGAACCAUAUUUAGGUAGCCUGUUUUCUGUUGGGUUUUGUGGGUGGUUGUUUUCAGUCUUUGUGUGUCUGCACCAGAUAGAACUGUUUCGGUUUUCACUUUGUUGUUUUUGUAUUUUGAGUUGUUCACUUCAUUAAAUAAGAUGAACAAUUACCACGCUGCGCAUUGGUCCUCUGAUCCUUCAAACUUCUCCUCCUCAGACGAGGAGGAAGACGACAGCCGUUACAGAACCACCCAACCAAAAAAGGACCAAGCAGCGUGGUAACGGGCAGCAACAGGAGAACCAGCGAUAUCUGGAGAAAUGGACUUGGGAGGAGAUUCUGGACGGCAAGGGACCCUGGGUACAGGCUGCUCUAGUGUCCAGUCCUCAGCUGUCCUCUGAGUGUCUGUCUCAUGGAGAGAUGAGGGUGUCCUGCUCCUCUGAGGGGGAUGGUCCCCAGUACAGCUGGACUCUGGAUGGACAGACGCUGAGAGACACUAAGGCCUCUUCUGAUAACGAGACAAACACCAUCACUCUGAAGAAAGGCCUGUCAGGAAAUCUCACCUGUACCAUCAGAAACUACAUCAGCAGUGAUUCUAUCAGCAGGAGAAUCUCACACUGUACAGGGCUGAUAUAUGUUAACUGCACCUUAUCCAACGGGACAAAGCUAUCAGAGUGGGUGAAUGCCACUGGUAAUACCCUGUGUGUUGAGUCUACAACAGUGGUGACUGUGACUGAGGCUCCCGUCAGUAAAACCUCCACUGGUAAGGGCCAGGGGCAGGAUAUUUUCAUUGCUGUACUCUGUGUCAUUAUGUUUAGUUUAACAGACACAUCAUGCAAAAUAAAACAAUAAUAUAUUAAUGAUGAUGAUAAUUAUGAUGAUGAUGAUUGACGUCAUCGUCAUCAUCAUCAUAAUCAUGACCUCUAGGGUCGUUCCACAAAAUUAGUCCCUAUUUGAUAUUUUCUUCAAUAAUACCACAUGGAGAAUUCAAUUCAAUCUUCGAUUUUCUAUAUGAAAAAACAUUUGCUAUCCUGCCAAAAUGCAGCAUUUUGACACGUCCCUCUGUCACCCUCUGUGACUUCUAGGAAGAUUUUAACCCACUUAAUCCCAAAAUGUCUCCAAGUGUUCACCAUUAUUGUAAAGCCUUAUUUUGUCUCUUUGCCAAAGUCAUUUCUGAACAUUUGUUUAUUUUAUGUAAUUUUUUUAUUUAUUUUUUAUUUAACUUUUAAUUAAAUAGGCAAGUCAGUUAAGGACAAAUUCUUAUUUACAAUGCCAGCCUACCAAAAGGCAAAAGGCCUCCUGUGGGGAUGGGUGCCUGGGGUUAAAAUGAAAAAUAAAUACUAAAUAAACAAACACACAUCACAACAAGAGAGACAACACAACACUACAUGAAGAGAGACCUAAGACAACACUAUAGCAAGGCAGCAACAUAUGACAAUACAGCAUGGUAGCAACACAACACCCAAUUUCCACACUAUUCAUUACAAGAUUUAGUUGACGUUUAUGGUUUAGUGAAUGAUUUGUCCCAAAUACAAUGCUUUUAGUUUUUGAAAUAUUUAGGACAAACGUAUUCCUUGCCACCCAUUCUGAAACGAACUGCAGCUUUGUGUUAAGUGUUGCAGUCAUUUCAGUCGCUGUAGUAGCUGACAUGGAUAGUGUUGAGUCAUCCUUAUACAUAGACACAUUGAAUAUAUGAGCCAGUGAAGAGGGUUUUACUAUUCUUGGGUAGCGGAAUAACUUCUACUUCCCUCCAGGCCUGAGGGCACACACUUUCUAGUAGGCUUAGAUUGAUGAUAUGGCAAAUAGGAGUGGCAAUAUCGUCCGCUAUUAUCCUCAGUAAUUUUCCAUCCAAGUUGUCAGACCCCGGUGGCUUGUCAUUGUUGAUAGACAACAAUACAUUUUUUACCUUUUCCACACUCACUUUACGGAAUUCAAAAUUACAAUGCUUGUCUUUCACAAUUUGGUCAGUUAUGCUUGGAUGUGUAGUGUUGGCAUUUUUUUGCUGGCAUGUCAUGCAUAAGUUUGCUAUUCUUGCAAGUGAAGAAAUCAUUAAAGUAGUUGGCAAUAUCAGUAGAUUUUGUAAUGAAUGAGCCAUCUGAUUCAAUGACUGAUGGAGCUGAGUUCGCCUUUUUUGCCGAAAAUUUCAAUGAAGGUUAUUACUAUCAAUGUUUAUAUCAUAUAUCUUUGUUUCAUGGUAUAGAUUCUUCAUAUUUUUAUUCAGUUUAGUCACAUGAUUUCUCAAUUUGCAGUACGUUUGCCAAUCGGUUGUGCUGCCUGACUUAUUUGCCAUUCCUUUUGCCACAUGUAACGAUUUUCGUCGGGAGAAGGAGAAGAGGACCAAGGUGCAGCGUCAAAAUGAAACAUUUAUAUUAUCUGUAACAAUGGAUAGGACACUUGUCCUCCUCCAUGCGCCAGUGACCUCCAGGAAUGGUGGCCUUUCCGUUUCACCAAGUUAUGGCUCUGCGACCACUUCAAUACCCUCACUGGCAUCGUGAUUGACAGUCUCCUGACUCAAUCUCUCCUGAAUAAGGGUCACUGCAACUCGGGUUGAUAUCGAAGCGCGAAUUCCUUUGCCAGACACACACAGGCUGAUCAUGCUUGGAAAUACUCUAUUGGGUUCUUCAAAAUGAAUGGUGUCGAUCGAGGGGAGAGGUCUGUGUUUUUGACAGUGAGUCCAACUUUGCUGCUGCCCUCUCUGUGCUCUUCAGCACGUUCUAUGUUUUUAACAUAGAAUAUCAGGAGCCGGCCUCUGCAACCUUGGAGCUGAU
Molecule: long non-coding RNA, 9024 nt
Organism: Salvelinus fontinalis (brook trout)
Lineage: Eukaryota; Metazoa; Chordata; Actinopteri; Salmoniformes; Salmonidae
Exons: 10
Source: RefSeq, a predicted model, not a curated record